UACGAAGGGGGCUAGCGUUGUUCGGAAUUACUGGGCGUAAAGCGCGCGCAGGCGGUUUUUCAAGUCAGUGGUGAAAGCCCGGAGCUCAACUCCGGAACUGCCAUUGAAACUGUAAAACUUGAGGACGAGAGAGGUGAGUGGAAUUCCCAGUGUAGAGGUGAAAUUCGUAGAUAUUGGGAAGAACACCGGUGGCGAGGGCGGCUCACUGGCUCGUAUCUGACGCUCAGGCGCGACAGCGUGGGGAUCAAACAGG
Molecule: ribosomal RNA, 253 nt
Filed under: uncultured bacterium
Lineage: Bacteria
Description: partial 16S ribosomal RNA
Rfam family: Bacterial small subunit ribosomal RNA
Source: RNAcentral